UUGCACGAAACACGCGCAUGCGUGUAGAAAAUUCGUAAAAUCACGACCUGAUGCAAUGAUUAAUUGCUUUUCCUACGAUUCUAUGAAUUUUUUCGUCCUGUACUACUAGUUCAAUUCAUUAUCGAUAAUAGAGUAAAUAAUACCGUGCGAGUUUUUGAGAUAAGCAGAGAUAAGUGGUCGUGCUUUGGAAUUUGUAAUACAUACUUAAGUUUGAGAAUGGCGAAAUUUGUAAAAUUUACAAAAUUAAGGUCUUCUACGGAUAGCACCUUCUGGGCAAAAUUUGUGGAAUUGAAGAUUGACAAAUUCAAACUUGAUGAGAAAAGUGUCAAUCUAUGGGGAAAUUACAGUCUCCAAUCGUUAAAUGAAAACAAUAACAAUCCAUUGGUGUUGGAUUUCACAUCGUUCAAUGAAGAUUUGGAGAUAUUAAAUAAUAAUUCAUCGGUUCUCUGCUUUGGACAUAUGAUUAAUACAAAUACUUUUGAAGCAUUUCGUCAAAUUAAUCCUGAACAAUUCAUCAAUUCCAUGGGAAAGGAUAUUAUAAAUAAUAUUCAAGAUGGAACAGUAUUGCAAAACCCAUGGAAAUUGUCAUUGUUUUUAGUCUUGGCUUAUUCAGAUUUAAAAAAAUAUAAAUUUUAUUAUUGGGUUGCACAUCCCACUCCAUUGAAAUUACCUGAAAUGUAUUAUCAAGAAUCUCCACAAUCAAUUAAUGAAGAAUUCACAGCCAGACAAGUAGAAGAUUUGUGUCAACAUUUCUUACAAUUAGAUAGCAGGACAAAAAGUUAUUUUACAGUUUCAAUAUCAAAAGAAGGUAAACUGAGCAUUAUUGACUUGGCAACAGGAGUAGAAACAAUUAAUGCAAGGGAAAAGCAAUCACAAGAAUAUAGUGAAAUAUAUUUUGCAUUUUAUGACCCAUGUACGACUUCCAAUCCAGGUUGGCCUUUACGUAAUCUUUUAUGCCUUUUAUGUUGGCAUUGUCCUAUAUAUUAUUUUUCAAAAAUCAUUAAAUUCAUAUCCAUACGAGGGAAUAAAGCACAGAAAAGUAUUGUUUUUAAACUUAAGACCAAAGAAUAUGAAAAUUAUAAAGACAUAAGAGAUGCUCUAUUUAUGAGUCAUCUGGUGGGUUGGGAAAGCAACUCAAAUGAUAAAUUGGGUCCCACCAUAGUUAAUUUAUCUGAUACAAUGGAUCCAGCCAAAUUGUCAGACAGAGCUAUCAAUCUGAACUUGAAGCUAAUGAAAUGGCGUCUUGCUCCUGACCUAGAUUUAGAAAAGAUCUGUAAUCUUAAGUGUCUUUUAUUAGGCGCUGGAACCUUAGGUUGUUCCGUAGCAAGAGUUCUCCUAGGUUGGGGAGUUAAUAACAUAACUUUCGUCGAUAGCUCCAACGUAUCUCAUAGCAACACAGUGCGACAAAGUUUGUACAGUCACCAAGAUGCUGUGAAGCAUAAGUAUAAAGCAUAUGCUGCUAAGGACGCUCUAUUGAACAUUCGACCGAGCAUAAAUGCAGAAGGUGUAGUUUUACACAUUCCAAUGCCCGGGCAUGUUGUUGGUAAAAGUAUGCUGGAUUCUACGAAGCAGUCCCUGGAAAAAUUGGAAGAACUUGUCGAGAACAACGACGUUGUCUUUCUUCUAUUGGAUUCUCGAGAGGCUAGGUGGCUACCUACGGUUCUCUGCGCUGCUAAGAACAAGAUUGCUAUCAAUGCAGCCUUGGGUUUUGAUUCUUAUACAGUACAGAGGCACGGUACUCGAAAUUUUACUAGUCCAGCUUCACCAGACUUGGAUGCUAGGAAUCCCCGCGGUAUGGACCUCGGUUGCUAUUUUUGUAACGAUGUAACACAGCCUGGAAAUUCACAAACUGACAGAACAUUGGACCAGCAAUGCACAGUUAGCAGGCCGGGUUUAUCACAGAUUGCAGCAGGACUAGCAGUCGAGUUAUUGGUAGCUUUGUUGCAGCACUCUCAAGGAAUCGAGGCAGAAGCGUUGGUGGGUAACAGCAGAGAUAAUAUUAGCCCAAGCGAUACAGAAUUGGUAGGCUUGCUGGGAUGUAUACCGCAUACGAUACGAGGUUCCCUGUGGAAUUACGAUACUCAGUUAACGAUUACUCAUAGAUUUACAUCCUGCACAGCUUGCUCUGUGCCUAUUAUCGCGGAAUAUAAAAAUCGGGGUUUAUCUUUUGUUUUGGACGCGUGUAAUAUACCGAAUUAUUUAGAAAAAUUAUCAGGACUGGAGCAAAUACUUAAAAGGCCCGAUUUAGAUGAGCUUUGUUACGCGUUGGAUAGCAUAAGCGAUGAGGAUGAGGAUGAUGGAAAUGAUGUGAUACCUUAAAUAUGCGAAUUUUUCUCUUUAACAAAGUUCUAGUUCUUGUAAUACAAUAUUUAAAGAAUUCAAUUUUAGCACAUAAAAAGCAUUGGAAGAAUUUAUAAUCUAAUAUCCAUAUCCGUUAAUUGCAAUCGCUUUAUUUUAAUUUUUUUUAUCAUUAUGUUGACAUUUGACAUUAAUGUAUGUCAAAAUCUCAUUACAAGAUAUGUCUUAUUACGCACAUGACUUGUGUAUACAGAUUUUACGCAAAUAUUAGAAGAGUAUACAAGAGGUUACGCCUCUGAAUUUGUUUUUAACGCUAAAUGUGUUGAAUAAAACAUUUGAAUUGCCUGAAAACUAAAAGAAAGACAGGCUAAUUGAAACUUAAGCUCAACUUUAAAAGAAAUCUAAGAAAAAUUUGCCCUUCAAAAAUUUUGUUUACUAAGAAAAAAUUAUAUGAAAUUGUAGGCAUAAUUGUUGGAGGGAAAAGAGGGAGUUUGAAUUGUAUUUAUACGGUCGGCGUGGCGCGCGUUUGUGCCUUUGGCAAUCUUCCCGCUAGAGAGCGCUUCGACGGACGAAUACCAGACAUUCCAGCGUAAUGUUUAAGUAGUGGGGAAUCGAGGCUGGCUCUCGUGUGUCAAAGAGCCUGUGUUCCUUGUGUGUUCGACCGCAUACCAUUAGAUUUUCCAUCGUUUUCAAUGAAAAUACGUACUGUGCGUUGGCUCGACGUGCCAGCGGACGUCGUGCCGGAUGUUUGAUCCUCUGUUCGUCAGCUUGUCAAUGCAGAAACAUCGAAAUGAAAUUGCGACGCCGGUUGCGUGGAAGUUUGGAAAGAGAGCAGGAGGCGCGAUAUGAGAGUAAGAAGAGGAAAACACUGUGACUAGUAAUAGCUUUGAGUAUGCCUACAUAAUUCGGAGUUAUCGCUGUACAAACAUACGCACGAGUAUCACCGAUCAAGUAACUCUUAAUAUCUUCUUAGCGUUUAUAUCCUUAAAUAAAGCUU
This is an RNA transcript of Bombus terrestris (buff-tailed bumblebee), 3295 nucleotides long. It is a transcript of the gene named ubiquitin-like modifier-activating enzyme atg7, with no coding region annotated. The transcript has 11 exons. The record is from RefSeq and is a predicted model, not a curated record. NCBI's taxonomy places the organism in Eukaryota, Metazoa, Arthropoda, Insecta, Hymenoptera, Apidae.